Molecule: ribosomal RNA, 489 nt
Filed under: uncultured bacterium
Lineage: Bacteria
Description: partial 16S ribosomal RNA
Rfam family: Bacterial small subunit ribosomal RNA
Source: RNAcentral
GAUGAACGCUAGCUACAGGCUUAACACAUGCAAGCCGAGGGGCAGCAUGAACUUAGCUUGCUAAGUUUGAUGGCGACCGGCGCACGGGUGAGUAACACGUAUCCAACCUGCCGAUGACUCGGGGAUAGCCUUUCGAAAGAAAGAUUAAUACCCGAUGGCAUAGUUCUUCCGCAUGGUAGAACUAUUAAAGAAUUUCGGUCAUCGAUGGGGAUGCGUUCCAUUAGGUUGUUGGCGGGGUAACGGCCCACCAAGCCUUCGAUGGAUAGGGGUUCUGAGAGGAAGGUCCCCCACAUUGGAACUGAGACACGGUCCAAACUCCUACGGGAGGCAGCAGUGAGGAAUAUUGGUCAAUGGACGAGAGUCUGAACCAGCCAAGUAGCGUGAAGGAUGACUGCCCUAUGGGUUGUAAACUUCUUUUAUACGGGAAUAAAGUGAGGCACGUGUGCCUUUUUGUAUGUACCGUAUGAAUAAGGAUCGGCUAACUCCGUG